This 253-nucleotide ribosomal RNA is filed under the name uncultured bacterium. Its description in RNAcentral is "partial 16S ribosomal RNA". It matches the Rfam family "Bacterial small subunit ribosomal RNA", at positions 524 to 776 of the family's 1533-position model. The record is from RNAcentral.
UACGGAGGGUGCAAGCGUUGUUCGGAAUCACUGGGCGUAAAGCGCGUGUAGGCGGCCUUCUAAGUCUGGUGUGAAAGCCCGGGGCUCACCCCCGGAAGUGCACUGGAAACUGGGAGACUCGAGUACCGGAGAGGAGGGUGGAAUUCCUGGUGUAGCGGUGAAAUGCGUAGAUAUCAGGAGGAACACCGGUGGCGAAGGCGGCCCUCUGGACGGAUACUGACGCUGAGACGCGAAAGCGUGGGGAGCAAACAGG